CCUGAGAGAUCUAAUCAGAAAUCCUCAGGUAGUGUGAAGUCAACCUGAGAGAUCUAAUCACAAAUCCAUAGGUAGUGUGAAGUCAAUCUGAGAGAUCUAAUCACAAAUCCAUAGGUAGUGUGAAGUCAACCUGAGAGAUCUAAUCACAAAUCCAUAGGUAGUGUGAAGUCAACCUGAGAGAUCUAAUCACAAAUCCUCAGGUAGUGUGAAGUCAACCUGAGAGAUCUAAUCACAAAUCCUCAGGUAGUGUGAAGUCAACCUGAGAGAUCUAAUCACAAAUCCUCAGGUAGUGUGAAGUCAACCUGAGAAAUCUAAUCACAAAUCCAUAGGUAGUGUGAAGUCAACCUGAGAGAUCUAAUCACAAAUCCUCAGGUAGUGUGAAGUCAACCUG
Mytilus californianus (California mussel) is the source of this 391-nucleotide long non-coding RNA. RefSeq lists it as uncharacterized. The record is from RefSeq and is a predicted model, not a curated record. Lineage: Eukaryota; Metazoa; Mollusca; Bivalvia; Mytilida; Mytilidae. The transcript has 3 exons.